Molecule: non-coding RNA, 67 nt
Organism: Parelaphostrongylus tenuis
Lineage: Eukaryota; Metazoa; Nematoda; Chromadorea; Rhabditida; Metastrongylidae
Source: the annotation of a GenBank genome assembly
GGCCUGUGUAGUGGUAGCACGCGUCUAUUGUAAGGAUGAACGCGGGUUCAACUCCCGCUUAAGGCCG